GACGAACGCUGGCGGCGUGCCUAAUACAUGCAAGUCGAGCGGGUUUAUCCUUCGGGAUAAGCUAGCGGCGGACGGGUGAGUAACACGUAGGUAACCUGCCUUUAAGACUGGGAUAACUAUCGGAAACGAUAGCUAAGACCGGAUAACUGGUUUUCUCGCAUGAGAGAAUCAUAAAACACGGAGCAAUCUGUGGCUUAAAGAUGGGCCUGCGGCGCAUUAGCUAGUUGGUGAGGUAACGGCUCACCAAGGCGACGAUGCGUAGCCGACCUGAGAGGGUGAACGGCCACACUGGGACUGAGACACGGCCCAGACUCCUACGGGAGGCAGCAGUAGGGAAUCUUCCGCAAUGGACGCAAGUCUGACGGAGCAACGCCGCGUGAGUGAUGAAGGUUUUCGGAUCGUAAAGCUCUGUUGCCCUAGACGAACAGCAAGGAGAGUAACUGCUCUUUGUGUGACGGUAUAGGAGAAGAAAGCCCCGGCUAACUACGUGCCAGCAGCCGCGGUAAUACGUAGGGGGCAAGCGUUGUCCGGAAUUAUUGGGCGUAAAGCGCGCGCAGGCGGUCAUUUAAGUCUGGUGUUUAAUCCUGGGGCUCAACCCCAGUUCGCAUCGGAAACUGGAUGACUUGAGUGUAAGAGAGGAAAGUGGAAUUCCACGUGUAGCGGUGAAAUGCGUAGAGAUGUGGAGGAACACCAGUGGCGAAGGCGACUUUCUGGCUUAUAACUGAC
RNAcentral lists this ribosomal RNA (726 nucleotides) under Paenibacillus sp. L1966. Its description in RNAcentral is "bacterial SSU rRNA". It matches the Rfam family "Bacterial small subunit ribosomal RNA", at positions 28 to 744 of the family's 1533-position model. The record is from RNAcentral. Lineage: Bacteria; Bacillati; Bacillota; Bacilli; Caryophanales; Paenibacillaceae.